Trichonephila inaurata madagascariensis is the source of this 67-nucleotide non-coding RNA. The record is from the annotation of a GenBank genome assembly. Lineage: Eukaryota; Metazoa; Arthropoda; Arachnida; Araneae; Nephilidae.
GCCAUCAUAGCUCAGUGGCAGAGAUGUCUUGUAAACCAGGGUGUGAGUUCGACCCUCACUGGUGGCU